Molecule: ribosomal RNA, 484 nt
Filed under: uncultured bacterium
Lineage: Bacteria
Description: partial 16S ribosomal RNA
Rfam family: Bacterial small subunit ribosomal RNA
Source: RNAcentral
GACGAACGCUGGCGGCGUGCUUAACACAUGCAAGUCGAACGGAAAGGCCCUGCUUUUGUGGGGUGCUCGAGUGGCGAACGGGUGAGUAACACGUGAGUAACCUGCCCUUGACUUUGGGAUUACUUCAGGAAACUGGGGCUAAUCCCGGAUAGGAGCUCCUGCUGCAUGGUGGGGGUUGGAAAGUUUCGGCGGUUGGGGAUGGACUCGCGGCUUAUCAGCUUGUUGGUGGGGUAGUGGCUUACCAAGGCUUUGACGGGUAGCCGGCCUGGGAGGGUGACCGGCCACAUUGGGACUGAGAUACGGCCCAGACUCCUACGGGAGGCAGCAGUGGGGAAUAUUGCACAAUGGGCGGAAGCCUGAUGCAGCAACGCCGCGUGCGGGAUGACGGCCUUCGGGUUGUAAACCGCUUUCGCCUGUGACGAAGCGUGAGUGACGGUAAUGGGUGAAGAAGCACCGGCUAACUACGUGCCAGCCGCCGCCGUAA